Long non-coding RNA from Bufo gargarizans (Asiatic toad), 161 nucleotides. RefSeq lists it as uncharacterized. NCBI's taxonomy places the organism in Eukaryota, Metazoa, Chordata, Amphibia, Anura, Bufonidae. The record is from RefSeq and is a predicted model, not a curated record. The transcript is spliced from 3 exons.
GACGAGGAUCGCGGCGGGUGAGGAAGCAGCGCAACGAGCGGCAGGAUUGUUUCUCCGACUAACCACCAGCGACACGAAGAGUUAUAAUCAUCCAUUGGAUAUAUACACCUAAUAUUGUUACUUCCCAAAACUAAAAUAAUAUACAUACUUAUAUUAUUAUA